AGAGCUUGCUCUCUGAUUCAGCGGCGGACGGGUGAGUAAUGCCUAGGAACCUGCCUGAUAGUGGGGGACAACGUUUCGAAAGGAACGCUAAUACCGCAUACGUCCUACGGGAGAAAGCAGGGGACCUUCGGGCCUUGCGCUAUCAGAUGAGCCUAGGUCGGAUUAGCUAGUUGGUGAGGUAACGGCUCACCAAGGCGACGAUCCGUAACUGGUCUGAGAGGAUGAUCAGUCACACUGGAACUGAGACACGGUCCAGACUCCUACGGGAGGCAGCAGUGGGGAAUAUUGGACAAUGGGCGAAAGCCUGAUCCAGCCAUGCCGCGUGUGUGAAGAAGGUCUUCGGAUUGUAAAGCACUUUAAGUUGGGAGGAAGGGUAUUAACCUAAUACGUUAGUGUUUUGACGUUACCGACAGAAUAAGCACCGGCUAACUUCGUGCCNNCNNCCGCGGNNNUACGAAGGGUGCAAGCGUUAAUCGGAAUUACUGGGCGUAAAGCGCGCGUANGUGGUUCGUUAAGUUGGAUGUGAAAGCCCCGGGCUCAACCUGGGAACUGCAUCCAAAACUGGCGAGC
Molecule: ribosomal RNA, 570 nt
Filed under: uncultured Pseudomonas sp.
Lineage: Bacteria; Pseudomonadati; Pseudomonadota; Gammaproteobacteria; Pseudomonadales; Pseudomonadaceae
Description: bacterial SSU rRNA
Rfam family: Bacterial small subunit ribosomal RNA
Source: RNAcentral